GUUAGGAAUCUUCCACAAUGGGGGCAACCCUGAUGGAGCAACACCGCGUGCUGGAUGAAGGCCUUCGGGUCGUAAACAGCUUUUGUAUACGAAGAAUAUGACGGUAAUAUACGAAUAAGGGUCGGCUAACUACGUGCCAGCAGCCGCGGUCAUACGUAGGACCCAAGCGUUAUCCGGAGUGACUGGGCGUAAAGAGUUGCGUAGGCGGCUUAUUAAGCGAGUAGUGAAAUCUGGUGGCUCAACCAUCAACACAUUGCUCGAACUGAUAGGCUUGAGAACGGUAGAGGUAGUUGGAAUUUCUUGUGUAGGAGUGAAAUCCGUAGAUAUAAGAAGGAACACCAAUGGCGUAGGCAGACUACUGGACCAUUUCUGACGCUGAGGCACGAAAGCGUGGGGAGCGAACCGGAUUAGAUACCCGAGUAGUCC
This 426-nucleotide ribosomal RNA is filed under the name uncultured bacterium. RNAcentral's name for it is "partial 16S ribosomal RNA". It matches the Rfam family "Bacterial small subunit ribosomal RNA", at positions 354 to 796 of the family's 1533-position model. The record is from RNAcentral.